Molecule: ribosomal RNA, 406 nt
Filed under: uncultured bacterium
Lineage: Bacteria
Description: bacterial SSU rRNA
Rfam family: Bacterial small subunit ribosomal RNA
Source: RNAcentral
UGGGGAAUCUUGGGCAAUGGGCGAAAGCCUGACCCAGCGACGCCGCGUUGGGGAUGAAGCCCUUCGGGGCGUAAACCCAUGUUGUAGGGGACGAAGAAAGUGACGGUACCCUACGAGAAAGCCCCGGCCAACUACGUGCCAGCAGCCGCGGUAAAACGUAGGGGGCGAGCGUUGUCCGGAAUUACUGGGCGUAAAGGGCACGCAGGCGGUACGCCAAGUCGGGGGUGUAAAGUUACGGCUUAACCGUGACCUUGCAAUCGAUACUGGCGUACUGGAGUGCGGGAGAGGGAAGUGGAAUUCCCGGUGUAGCGGUGAAAUGCGUAGAUAUCGGGAGGAACGCCAGUGGCGAAGGUGGCUUCCUGGCCCGCGACUGACGCUCAUGUGCGAAAGCCAGGGGAGCGAACCG